This 253-nucleotide ribosomal RNA is filed under the name uncultured bacterium. RNAcentral's name for it is "partial 16S ribosomal RNA". It matches the Rfam family "Bacterial small subunit ribosomal RNA", at positions 524 to 776 of the family's 1533-position model. The record is from RNAcentral.
UACAGAGGGUGCAAGUGUUGUUCGGAAUCAUUGGGCGUAAAGGGCGCGUAGGCGGCAAUUUAAGUCAGAUGUGAAAGCCCUGGGCUUAACUCAGGAACUGCAUUUGAUACUGAACUGCUAGAGUGCGAUAGAGGGUAGUGGAAUUCCCGGUGUAGAGGUGAAAUUCGUAGAUAUCGGGAGGAACACCAGUGGCGGAAGCGGCUACCUGGAUCGCAACUGACGCUGAGGCGCGAAAGCGUGGGGAGCAAACAGG